AUUGAACGCUGGCGGCAGGCUUAACACAUGCAAGUCGAGCGGAGAGAGGUAGCUUGCUACUGAUCUUAGCGGCGGACGGGUGAGUAAUGCUUAGGAAUCUGCCUAUUAGUGGGGGACAACAUUUCGAAAGGAAUGCUAAUACCGCAUACGUCCUACGUGAGAAAGCAGGGGAUCUUCGGACCUUGCGCUAAUAGAUGAGCCUAAGUCGGAUUAGCUAGUUGGUGGGGUAAAGGCCUACCAAGGCGACGAUCUGUAGCGGGUCUGAGAGGAUGAUCCGCCACGCUGGGACUGAGACACGGCCCAGACUCCUACGGGAGGCAGCAGUGGGGAAUAUUGGACAAUGGGCGGAAGCCUGAUCCAGCCAUGCCGCGUGUGUGAAGAAGGCCUUAUGGUUGUAAAGCACUUUAAGCGAGGAGGAGGCUACUUUAGUUAAUACCUAGAGAUAGUGGACGUUACUCGCAGAAUAAGCACCGGCUAACUCAGUGCCAGCCGCCGCCGUAA
Molecule: ribosomal RNA, 501 nt
Filed under: uncultured bacterium
Lineage: Bacteria
Description: partial 16S ribosomal RNA
Rfam family: Bacterial small subunit ribosomal RNA
Source: RNAcentral